CUCUCUUCUCAGGCUUUUUGAGUAGGAACAAGUGUAGCAUCUGUUCUUAGUUUCUCAUCUGAUACGUCCUAUAUCCGGGGACCUUAUAUUAGAUGGGUUUUGGAGGACAGUGCCAAUUCCUAAGCCUGCUUACGUCACCUUAUGCGCAUUGCUGAUAGGGCAGUUUCUGCAGUUUCAGCGCAUCCCAC
Molecule: small nuclear RNA, 188 nt
Organism: Hyla sarda
Lineage: Eukaryota; Metazoa; Chordata; Amphibia; Anura; Hylidae
Product: U2 spliceosomal RNA
Exons: 1
Source: RefSeq, a predicted model, not a curated record